This 280-nucleotide small RNA is filed under the name Pongo abelii (Sumatran orangutan). Lineage: Eukaryota; Metazoa; Chordata; Mammalia; Primates; Hominidae. The record is from RNAcentral.
GCCUGGCACAGUGGCUCAUGCCUGUAAUCCCAGCACUUUGGGAGGCUUAGGUGGGAGGACUGCUUGAGCCCAGGAGUUCAAGACCAGUCUGGGCAAUGGCGAAACCCCGUCUCUACUCAAAAUACAAAAAUUAGCUGGGCAUAGUGGUGUGCGCCUAUAAUCCCAGCUACUCAGGAGGCUGAGGCAGGAGUAGCUCUUGAACCUGGGAGGCGGAGGUUGCAGUGAGCUGAGAUCACGCCAUUGCACUCCAGCCUGGGCAACAGAGCAAGACUCUGUCUCA